This 498-nucleotide ribosomal RNA is filed under the name uncultured bacterium. Its description in RNAcentral is "partial 16S ribosomal RNA". It matches the Rfam family "Bacterial small subunit ribosomal RNA", at positions 30 to 523 of the family's 1533-position model. The record is from RNAcentral.
AUUGAACGCUGGCGGCAUGCUUUACACAUGCAAGUCGAACGGUAACAGGCCGCAAGGUGCUGACGAGUGGCGAACGGGUGAGUAAUGCAUCGGAACGUGCCCAGUCGUGGGGGAUAACGCAGCGAAAGCUGUGCUAAUACCGCAUACGAUCUAUGGAUGAAAGCGGGGGACCGUAAGGCCUCGCGCGAUUGAAGCGGCCGAUGUCAGAUUAGGUAGUUGGUGGGGUAAAGGCUCACCAAGCCAACGAUCUGUAACUGGUCUGAGAGGACGACCAGCCACACUGGGACUGAGACACGGCCCAGACUCCUACGGGAGGCAGCAGUGGGGAAUUUUGGACAAUGGGCGCAAGCCUGAUCCAGCAAUGCCGCGUGCAGGAAGAAGGCCUUCGGGUUGUAAACCGCUUUUGUCAGGGAAGAAAUCCUUUGGGUUAAUACCUCGGGGGGAUGACGGUACCUGAAGAAUAAGCACCGGCUAACUACGUGCCAGCAGCCGCCGUAA